GUCGUCGCUAUCCAGGUCAUGGAAAAGGGGCUCGGCACCUGAAAUGGAGACAAAACACUGGCAUGAGAGUCUUGAAGAGGUGACUCAUUUCAGUGCUAGGAUAUUCAGCUGAAUUCAACAAGUGUUGCCUGAGCACAGGCUCCAGGUGAAACUUUCUACAGAAAGUCUAUAUUCUCUUUAGGGGACUCGUGUCCAAAGUGCAACAAGUGAAAACAAUCUAAACCAGGAUAUGACAAAGUGCUAAAUUGAGUGCAGCAUAAGCAAAUGUCACAAUGUCUAGACAGGGAGUGUGGGGAGUAGGCAGGACAUGUCACCAGAGGCUGGAGAGACAGGGCAGAGCUCCCAUAGGACUUGGGCCUGAAAAAUGAUGCUUGAAGGAGGGAUGGUAAAACCAACAAACAAAAAACAAAACAAAAAAAAGCUCUUUGAGUGAAGCUAAUGAAAACUCCUGUGAUAACAUUUGUUCUUUCAAACACCAAGGGUCUACUAUCAGCUGUUACCCCAAAUUUGUAAUGCAAAGAAAAGGAAGGUUAGGUGCCUGCCUUCAACUAAUUUACACCUUUGAUAGGGAAGCCAGUAGGGCACACAGUGGAACAGCUGAGAAAUCACUGCAACCAGGACCUGGAGGCAAAGAAUGUUCUGCCUCCGCUUCAGGUAAACGUUUGCUUAAUUAAGGCCUUCUGUAGCACUGAUACUGCUGAUAUCUGGCAUGAAGCGCGAGACUUGCAGAAUUCAAUGACAACAAACAGGUCUACAAGGAGAGCACAACUUCCCAUUUAAAACCAACAAACAAGAAGCUUUGAAAACAAGAUAAAUGGAAGUGUCACUAAUGAAUAUGCAUGAAGGUCUUUCUCCUGUAGUCAUUGGUUAGGCGAUUCUGGCAGUAUUUUGUAGGGCACAUUAUUCUGCUUUGGAGCUUCGGUGAGCAUCUGGGAACUGCCUAGAUGUGUUUAGGAGGGAAUGAGAAACCCACACAAGUUAUGAGAGGGCCCGGGGGGCUUGAGUCCCUCUUACCAUAAGGGUGCAUGUGGUCUCCAGGCAUCUGGGGUGGGGUGAGACCCUGUCGGAAGGGAUCUGAGCUGUAGACACUCUGCUCGAUGGCCAGGAGCUGCUGUGGGGUGGGCAGAGCCGUGUAGGGGUUCAUGAUUCCUUCCAUCCCAGCACUCCCACCACCGUUUGUCUGAGCUGUGGAACAAAGAAGCAGCCAGGUCAUUCUCAAUGUGCAGCCUGGCAUGUGAUUUCCCUGGGUCCUGAUUCCCUCAUUUAUAAAAUAAAAUGGGAUGAGGUGACAUCAGUGGUCCCAGUCUUUGUCCUACCAGAGGCCAUCAGGAAUCACCUUGGAGGAUAGGAAUAGGGUAGGGGCUGGGAUGUUGAACUUUGAGAACAUCCUUGAAAUAUAUUAUUUCAACAAAAGGUUUUGAUGCUAGCCACAUGUUUGGCAGUCACUAGAAUAGAUGUAUCUAAAGAUCUUUCUACGAUAACCCAGUAUGAGCCCAUCAGUCAAGUGGGAGUUGUGACCAGUUGACCUCACUGGGCUGAUGGGAAGAUUCCAUAGGACUGUGUAUGCUUUGGAAUUAUAUCUUGCUAUGCUUGUAGAUAGAAUUUUAUAAGAAAAGCAGGAUUCACUUCCUGCCUCCACAUCUUGCUGAGGUUCUCUGAACCUGGGAAGAACAGAGACCAUUUCCCACCAGCCUCUGCUUUCUUAAGUCUACAUUUGGAGUGCCUUUAGAAUUAUUUAAACUAAGUUCCAAGCCAUAUGAGUUUGUGUUCUCAUAUGCUUUGAUGCAUUCUUCUCCCUUUGAACUGCACAGGGGUCCUGUGAAGUAGGACUAGCAGGCAUUAGGGCCCUACCCUAGGGAUGCACACAGCCUGAGGAACAAGGAAAUGUAGGUCCCACAUAAAGAGCCUUAGGGGUGGAGCUGUGGGCAGAAUUCAGAUCUAACCAGCUUCCUGCUCCACCCUUCCCCACACCUAUGCCCUGUUUUAUUUCUUCUCUCCCUAACAUCUACCUUGUUGUUAACAUACUGUUUAGUCUAGAAGGUAAGAAACUAAGGGAACUCUUGGCUGCAAGAGUCAAAUUCUGGAUUAAGCCUAGACCCGGUGUCAAGCACAAGGCAGGGUCCAUGUGAGGAUAAGAGUCUCUGUUGAGGAGCCUGAGAAAUAGGAUCACAUUCCACAGACUUCAAAGUGUGGCCCACAGACUUCAAAGUGUGGUCCACAGACUAGCAGCAAUGGCACCACUAAAAAGCUUGUUAAAAAGGCAGAAUCUUGGGGCCCACCCAGACCUUCCUUAUGAAUUCGAAUCUGCACCUUACCAAAAUCCCAGGUGACCUACAUGCAUAUUAAAAUGUAAGAAGUCCUGUUUUAAGGUACAGACCAUUCAAGGAAUUCUGGAUAGCUGAGUUGGGUGGCGAGGGGCAGAGCCUUUAAGGAUGACAUUGUUCUAAUAUAGUAAUUCUUCUUUUUUUUUUCUUUUAACUUCCAUGAAGUCUCCCACAGUCUGUCCCUCUUCACCCUCCUCCCUAAUCCUCAUAUCACCCUGACUUUUUCAAAAGUACAUCUGGGUAAAGAUGAGAAGGCCCAUGGCCUGUGGAACACAGUUAGAGUUCUAGUCCCAGCCCCCGCCCUUACUGAUCUAGGGCCACAUUCAAUCUUGCAGAACCUUUGUUUGCUCAUCUGUGACACGGGGAUAAUAACAACUUCUCCACUCACCUCCAGGAAGGGGUGUUGUAAAAGUCAAGUCAGCAUGUAUGAGAACACCAAUCUAUAAAAGUGUUCAACAAAGGAGAACAUUGUUAUUUCACUAUCAUUAUUUUUACUACUUUACGUUAUUUUGGAAAGAGGCAAGUCACCGAGGUGUCUUCUAUUAAAUCGAUUAGCCUGGAAGGAGAACUAAGCAAGAUGAGAAACUGAACGUAUCUGUGACUCUGCAAGUAGUCCUGACACAUUCUCCCUGACAUUGUGGUGGGAUCCAGGCCCAGACGCUGUGGAUAAGGGCUGCUGUGGCCAAAAUAAUUAUUGAUAACAGAAUUUUUGAACCAAGAGAACUACUCUAUCCAAUGAGCUAAGGCAAGAAAACCUGGCAGCAAGUACAAUGUCCUACUGUGAUUAUUUCAGGAAAUCAGCAACACGGGGACAGAUAAAAGUAAGAAGCAGGUUACCUUCGCUCUCUGGUUUUGGAACCACACCUGGACGACACGGACACUCAGCCCUGUCUCUGCAGCCAGAGUUUCUCUCACCUUGGAAAAAUUGAACAUGAGAAGUGUAGACACACUGGCAUCUCAGGGUAGGAGAUAGAACAUCUCCUAUAUCAUACAUGAGGAAGCCAAAAGACUGUAUCUGCUUUAGGAGCUGGAUAGUUUUUAAUGUUGAGCAUAAACACAAACACGAGAACAUUGCUUCCGUUCAGGUAGAAAGAAAGUCCUUCACCAGGUAAAGAAACAAAAGAAUAAUUAUUAAUUUA
This is a long non-coding RNA of Pongo pygmaeus (Bornean orangutan), 3463 nucleotides long. RefSeq lists it as uncharacterized. The record is from RefSeq and is a predicted model, not a curated record. The transcript is spliced from 3 exons. Lineage: Eukaryota; Metazoa; Chordata; Mammalia; Primates; Hominidae.